Molecule: ribosomal RNA, 253 nt
Filed under: uncultured bacterium
Lineage: Bacteria
Description: partial 16S ribosomal RNA
Rfam family: Bacterial small subunit ribosomal RNA
Source: RNAcentral
UACGGAGGGGGCUAGCGUUGUUCGGAAUUACUGGGCGUAAAGCGCACGUAGGCGGAUAUUUAAGUCAGGGGUGAAAUCCCGGGGCUCAACCCCGGAACUGCCUUUGAUACUGGGUAUCUGGAGGUCGAGAGAGGCGAGUGGAAUUCCGAGUGUAGAGGUGAAAUUCGUAGAUAUUCGGAGGAACACCAGUGGCGAAGGCGGCUCGCUGGCUCGAUACUAACGCUGAGGAGCGAAAGCGUGGGGAGCGAACAGG